Molecule: RNA transcript, 1209 nt
Organism: Colletes gigas
Lineage: Eukaryota; Metazoa; Arthropoda; Insecta; Hymenoptera; Colletidae
Gene name: protein C1orf43 homolog
Exons: 5
Source: RefSeq, a predicted model, not a curated record
AAUAUGAAAUGAAAUGUAGCGCGUACGUACACACUUGAGAAAUGCAUUCGUAUAUGGAUUUAGUCGAAUGUAUGCAACGUAAACAUGACCGAGGAGCUGUCUGGCGUGACAAUAGUGGUAUUUAUUGCAGCUGGAGUAUUAACGAUGUUAUUGCUAUUCAUUUUUGCAAAACGACAAAUUAUGAGAUUUACUUUACGAUCGCGUCGUGGCCCUCAUAUUCCUAUUGGACACGAUGCAAGAAAGUCGCUCAAGAAAGAGAUUGAAAGGCGAAUAGAAGUAAUACCAAGAAUUCAGUAUGAACCGCAACUUAUUAGCGAUCCACGAUUUAUCGUGACGCCUAAAACACAGGUUCCACCUCAUUAUUACAGAUUAAAAGUAGUAGAUGAUGUUAAAUCUUUGGAAGCUGAAAUCAGUAAAUACGAUAAUUUUCUAAAAAGGCAUCCAACUGAAAAUUUGAGGGCGUAUUUGCUUUCUACAUUAGCUCCUCCAUUGAAUGGAAAUGGACAACGGUUGAUUCAUCAAUUUUGUGAUUUGUAUGAACAUGCAAGACACGAUCCAACAGAAUUUGGGGACGAGGAGUAUCAAGUAUAUACAAGAUUGUUUCUUAAAUUAAUGGAUUCAGCUCGUUUAUUAAAAUCGUAUCCGAGCAGUAGAAAAUCUAGUCCAAGUCGUACGCCCAUAAAGAAAAAUGUUGAAACGAAACGGAAUAUAUUAGAACCUCGGAUGAAAUUGCCGGAAGACCAAACGUUAACUGGAUCUCGCCCCAACACAUUAACAGUUAUGACUUUGGACAAUAGCGAGACAUCCGUUUAGCAUUAUGAAAAGUGUCACAUACAACAUAUGUGACGACAUAUCUGUUCGUAACUGCCGACCACGGUGUCAUAUGACAUUACAUGGGGAGCCGAAUUGUACGAGAGACCGGGAACAAUGACUUGACAAAAAUGGAAGUGUAAAGAAACGAAACAAGAAUGACACACCUUGGAGGAAAAAGGUCGGUCGUCGGUCGUCGGUCGUCGUUCCGUAGUCGUAACGAAUUUCAACGUGUACGUCCCGAAGAAGAGGAGGAGAGUGUUUUGCAUGCAUGUAACGCACAGCUAAACUGUCUAGGCGUUUUACGACGAAGCUCAGUUACAGUAUACGACGGGGGUUACAUUAAUAUUGGACAAAGUUUGCGAAACGGCGAAUAAAACGAUCUACAGCAAUCGACGA